This 486-nucleotide ribosomal RNA is filed under the name uncultured Glomus. Its description in RNAcentral is "SSU rRNA". It matches the Rfam family "Eukaryotic small subunit ribosomal RNA", at positions 571 to 1071 of the family's 1831-position model. The record is from RNAcentral. Lineage: Eukaryota; Fungi; Glomeromycota; Glomeromycetes; Glomerales; Glomeraceae.
AGCAGCCGCGGUAAUUCCAGCUCCAAUAGCGUAUAUUAAAGUUGCUGCAGUUAAAAAGCUCGUAGUUGAAUUUCGGGACURAUAUGUCGGUCGUGCCUCGGUACGUACUGGUAUUUUUGGUUUCUCCCUUCUGACGAACCUUGAUGUCAUUAAUUUGGUGUCUUGGGAAAUCAGGACUGUUACUUUGAAAAAAUUAGAGUGUUUAAAGCAGGCUCACGCUUGAAUACAUUAGCAUGGAAUAAUGAAAUAGGACGUUUGAUUCUAUUUUGUUGGUUUCUAGGAUCGACGUAAUGAUUAAUAGGGAUAGUUGGGGGCAUUAGUAUUCAAUUGUCAGAGGUGAAAUUCUUGGAUUUAUUGAAGACUAACUACUGCGAAAGCAUUUGCCAAGGAUGUUUUCAUUAAUCAAGAACGAAAGUUAGGGGAUCGAAGACGAUCAGAUACCGUCGUAGUCUUAACCAUAAACUAUGCCGACUAGGGAUCGGAUGA